GGGGGCGAAACGGCUUCGACGGGGAUAAAGAAGCAACGGUUGCAUGCCGAGACCUCACCUUCUCGUAAAACGGUGGGAAAAACAUAGUCGCAGACGAUUAUGCAUACGCCGUAGCCGCUUAGUCGGCUACCGUUCUGUCGGAUUUUCUCUGCGAAUCCGAUAAGGGCGUCGACUUUGCAGGGAUGCUGUUUCUGACCGCCUGCAUCAGAAACGGCGAGAACCAUGCAGGAUAGUCUUUCAAAUAUCGAGUUCGGAGGAGAUUUGAAAAGGCGAAUGCUAAAAUCCGAGCUAAGUAUGUAGAUGCCGGUGUGGAAUAUUUCCGGACGCGGGUUCAACUCCCGCCGCCUCCACCA
RNAcentral lists this transfer-messenger RNA (353 nucleotides) under Desulfobacteraceae bacterium IS3. It matches the Rfam family "transfer-messenger RNA". Rfam says of the family: Bacterial tmRNA, also known as 10Sa RNA or SsrA, is named for its dual tRNA and mRNA-like properties. Its role is to liberate the mRNA from a stalled ribosome. The record is from RNAcentral. Lineage: Bacteria; Pseudomonadati; Thermodesulfobacteriota; Desulfobacteria; Desulfobacterales; Desulfobacteraceae.